RNAcentral lists this ribosomal RNA (301 nucleotides) under uncultured bacterium. Its description in RNAcentral is "partial 16S ribosomal RNA". It matches the Rfam family "Bacterial small subunit ribosomal RNA", at positions 509 to 807 of the family's 1533-position model. The record is from RNAcentral.
CAGUAGCCGCGGGAAUACAGAGGGUGCGAGCGUUAAUCGGAUUUACUGGGCGUAAAGCGUGCGUAGGCGGCUUCUUAAGUCGGAUGUGAAAUCCCUGAGCUUAACUUAGGCAUUGCAUUCGAUACUGGGAAGCUAGAGUAUGGGAGAGGAUGGUAGAAUUCCAGGUGUAGCGGUGAAAUGCGUAGAGAUCUGGAGGAAUACCGAUGGCGAAGGCAGCCAUCUGGCCUAAUACUGACGCUGAGGUACGAAAGCAUGGGGAGCAAACAGGAUUAGAGACCCCGGUAGUCCCUGUCUCUUAUAC